AGAGUUUGAUCCUGGCUCAGGAUGAACGCUAGCGGCAGGCCUAACACAUGCAAGUCGAGGGGCAGCACAAAGAUAGUUUACUAUUUUGGUGGCGACCGGCGCACGGGUGAGUAACGCGUAUGCAACCUACCUUAUACAGGAGUAUAGCCCGAAGAAAUUCGGAUUAAUCCUCCAUAGUAUUUUCUAAUGGCAUCAUUUGGAAAAUUAAAGUUUCGGCGGUAUAAGAUGGGCACGCGUCCUAUUAGCUAGAUGGUAAGGUAACGGCUUACCAUGGCAACGAUAGGUAGGGGGCCUGAGAGGGUGAUCCCCCACACUGGUACUGAGACACGGACCAGACUCCUACGGGAGGCAGCAGUGAGGAAUAUUGGGCAAUGGAGGCAACUCUGACCCAGCCAUGCCGCGUGCAGGAAGAAUGCCCUAUGGGUUGUAAACUGCUUUUAUUUAGGAAUAAACCCUUCUACGUGUAGAAGGCUGAAUGUACUAAACGAAUAAGCACCGGCUAACUCCGUGCCAGCGGCCGCGGUAAUACGGAGCGUGCAAGCGUUAUCCGGAAUCAUUGGGUUUAAAGGGUCCGCAGGCGGACGUAUAAGUCAGUGGUGAAAUCCUGCAGCUUAACUGCAGAACUGCCAUUGAUACUGUACGUCUUGAAUUCGGUCGAAGUGGGCGGAAUGUGUAGUGUAGCGGUGAAAUGCAUAGAUAUUACACAGAACACCGAUAGCGAAGGCAGCUCACUA
RNAcentral lists this ribosomal RNA (734 nucleotides) under uncultured bacterium. Its description in RNAcentral is "bacterial SSU rRNA". It matches the Rfam family "Bacterial small subunit ribosomal RNA", at positions 8 to 731 of the family's 1533-position model. The record is from RNAcentral.